This 320-nucleotide ribosomal RNA is filed under the name uncultured bacterium. RNAcentral's name for it is "bacterial SSU rRNA". It matches the Rfam family "Bacterial small subunit ribosomal RNA", at positions 28 to 352 of the family's 1533-position model. The record is from RNAcentral.
GACGAACGCUGGCGGCGUGCUUAACACAUGCAAGUCGAGCGGAAAGGCCCUUCGGGGUACUCGAGCGGCGAACGGGUGAGUAACACGUGAGUAACCUGCCCUUGGCUCUGGGAUAAGCCCGGGAAACUGGGUCUAAUACCGGAUAUGACCACUGACUGCAUGGGUUGGUGGUGGAAAGUUUUUCGGCUGGGGAUGGACUCGCGGUCUAUCAGCUUGUUGGUGGGGUGAUGGCCUACCAAGGCGACGACGGAUAGCCGGCCUGAGAGGGUGACCGGCCACACUGGGACUGAGACACGGCCCAGACUCCUACGGGAGGCAGC